This 1430-nucleotide small RNA is filed under the name Pan troglodytes (chimpanzee). RNAcentral describes it as "retained intron". Lineage: Eukaryota; Metazoa; Chordata; Mammalia; Primates; Hominidae. The record is from RNAcentral.
GGACUGGGACCCAGACCGACUAGGGGACUGGGAGCGGGCGGCGCGGCCAUGGCGGGCUGCUGCGCCGCGCUGGCGGCCUUCCUGUUCGAGUACGACACGCCGCGCAUCGUGCUCAUCCGCAGCCGCAAAGUGGGGCUCAUGAACCGCGCCGUGCAACUGCUCAUCCUGGCCUACGUCAUCGGGUGGGUGUUUGUGUGGGAAAAGGGCUACCAGGAAACUGACUCCGUGGUCAGCUCCGUUACAACCAAGGUCAAGGGCGUGGCUGUGACCAACACUUCUAAACUUGGAUUCCGGAUCUGGGAUGUGGCGGAUUAUGUGAUACCAGCUCAGGAGGAAAACUCCCUCUUCGUCAUGACCAACGUGAUCCUCACCAUGAACCAGACCCAGGGCCUGUGCCCCGAGAUUCCAGAUGCGACCACUGUGUGUAAAUCAGAUGCCAGCUGUACUGCCGGCUCUGCCGGCACCCACAGCAACGACCUGCUUUUUUAAAGGCUGCAGAAAACUUCACUCUUUUGGUUAAGAACAACAUCUGGUAUCCCAAAUUUAAUUUCAGCAAGAGGAAUAUCCUUCCCAACAUCACCACUACUUACCUCAAGUCGUGCAUUUAUGAUGCUAAAACAGAUCCCUUCUGCCCCAUAUUCCGUCUUGGCAAAAUAGUGGAGAACGCAGGACACAGUUUCCAGGACAUGGCCGUGGAGGGAGGCAUCAUGGGCAUCCAGGUCAACUGGGACUGCAACCUGGACAGAGCCGCCUCCCUCUGCUUGCCCAGGUACUCCUUCCGCCGCCUCGAUACACGGGACGUUGAGCACAACGUAUCUCCUGGCUACAAUUUCAGGUUUGCCAAGUACUACAGAGACCUGGCUGGCAACGAGCAGCGCACGCUCAUCAAGGCCUAUGGCAUCCGCUUCGACAUCAUUGUGUUUGGGAAGGCAGGGAAAUUUGACAUCAUCCCCACUAUGAUCAACAUCGGCUCUGGCCUGGCGCUGCUAGGCAUGGUGAGUGGUUUAGGCCCUGCCUUCACCCUCACGGUGAGGUGAGCCCCUGGGCUGGGGUCCUGGCCCUGGGCCCUAGACCUCAGAUGUGUUUCUAGACUUGACCCUCCUACCUUCUUUCCCUUGGCCCCCAGCCCUCCUCCCACCUUCCCUUCUCCAAGACCACCCCCCUCAGGUCCCAGCCUUCUCCCAAGAGGUGGGAGUGCCUUUCCAUUCCGGUAAAGAUUCCAGGCUUCUCAGGAAGGGGCACGCAAAGAAUAAGAUGGGUUGAUGGGUUGCAAGCAUCCUGGCUCACUCUCACCCUAUGCUAAACUCAGGCGACCGUGCUGUGUGACAUCAUAGUCCUCUACUGCAUGAAGAAAAGACUCUACUAUCGGGAGAAGAAAUAUAAAUAUGUGGAAGAUUACGAGCAGGGUCUUGCUAGUGAGCUGGACCAGU